RNAcentral lists this ribosomal RNA (429 nucleotides) under Bacteroidota bacterium. Its description in RNAcentral is "Bacteroidetes bacterium partial 16S ribosomal RNA". It matches the Rfam family "Bacterial small subunit ribosomal RNA", at positions 355 to 776 of the family's 1533-position model. Lineage: Bacteria; Pseudomonadati; Bacteroidota. The record is from RNAcentral.
UAGGGAAUCUUCCGCAAUGGACGCAAGUCUGACGGAGCAACGCCGCGUGAGUGAAGAAGGAUUUCGGUUCGUAAAACUCUGUUGUUAGAGAAGAACAGCGCAUAGAGUAACUGUUAUGCGUGUGACGGUAUCUAACCAGAAAGCCACGGCUAACUACGUGCCAGCAGCCGCGGUAAUACGUAGGUGGCAAGCGUUGUCCGGAUUUAUUGGGCGUAAAGCGAGCGCAGGCGGUCAAUUAAGUCUGAUGUGAAAGCCCCCGGCUCAACCGGGGAGGGUCAAUGGAAACUGGUUGACUUGAGUGCAGAAGAGGAGGGUGGAAUUCCAUGUGUAGCGGUGAAAUGCGUAGAUAUAGGGAGGAACACCAGUGGCGAAGGCGACUCUCUGGUCUGUAACUGACGCUGAGGCUCGAAAGCGUGGGUAGCAAACAGG